This 254-nucleotide ribosomal RNA is filed under the name Escherichia coli. Its description in RNAcentral is "partial 16S ribosomal RNA". It matches the Rfam family "Bacterial small subunit ribosomal RNA", at positions 422 to 671 of the family's 1533-position model. Lineage: Bacteria; Pseudomonadati; Pseudomonadota; Gammaproteobacteria; Enterobacterales; Enterobacteriaceae. The record is from RNAcentral.
GGUGUAAAGUACUUUCAGCGGGAGGAAGGGAGUAAGUUAAUACCUUUGCUCAUUGACGUACCGCAGAAGAAGCACCGGCUAACUCCGUGCCAGCAGCCGCCGUUAAUACGGAGGGUGCAAGCGUUAAUCGGAAUUACUGGCGUAAAGCGCACGCAGGCGGUUUGUUAAGUCAGAUGUGAAUCCCCCGGGCUCAACCUGGGAACUGCAUCUGAUACUGGCAAAGCUUGAGUCUCGUAGAGGGGGGUAGAAUUCCA